GAUCCUGGCUCAGAGCGAACGCUGGCGGCAGGCUUAACACAUGCAAGUCGAGCGGGCCCUUCGGGGUCAGCGGCGGACGGGUGAGUAACGCGUGGGAACGUGCCUUCUGGUCUGGAAUAACCCUGGGAAACUAGGGCUAAUACCGGAUACGCCCUUUUGGGGAAAGGUUUACUGCCGGAAGAUCGGCCCGCGUCUGAUUAGCUAGCUGGUGGGGUAACGGCCUACCAAGGCGACGAUCAGUAGCUGGUCUGAGAGG
This 256-nucleotide ribosomal RNA is filed under the name uncultured bacterium. Its description in RNAcentral is "partial 16S ribosomal RNA". It matches the Rfam family "Bacterial small subunit ribosomal RNA", at positions 15 to 299 of the family's 1533-position model. The record is from RNAcentral.